Molecule: long non-coding RNA, 2050 nt
Filed under: Mytilus galloprovincialis (Mediterranean mussel)
Lineage: Eukaryota; Metazoa; Mollusca; Bivalvia; Mytilida; Mytilidae
Source: RNAcentral
UUUACCUAUAAGUUAGUUAGAUAAUAUAUUUUUUUUAUUUCUUGAAGACAGAGAUAGUAGAUAGGUGCUUUGUUAUGUUAGUUUUUUCCUGCAUUAUCAAUCAUGUUUUAUAAGAGUUGUGAUGCAUAUGUUGUGCAGUUAUUGUUUUGAUUGUUUGUAUGUUUAAAUAUCUCUAUGAGAGGGAAAGGAAAUCCAUUUUAACAUCUGUUUUAUAAUACUUUGUUAAUAUUAGAUGUGUAUUAUCAUGUAGAUAUGUAUUCAAUAUAUGGUGCUGUUAAAGCUUAUUGUUGUGGCAGAGAGGAUAGGAAGCUUCUUUCUAUUUUUAAGGAAAAGUGGGGGUUUGUGGACACUAAAAAAUUUAGAAAUGGCAUUAAGUAAUAUGCUUGUUUUUCAACUUGUGACCGAAUAUCUUUAAUUUUUUCUUCAUUUAAAUUCAUGCCCAUAUUUUAGGGUAAUAUAGAAUCUUUAAAAUGAUCUUGUUGUUUAUGCCAUUAAAAUGUUCAGUAUAUUUUUGUCAGAAUUUCUUUGAAAAGCCAAAACAAAAAAAAUGCAUAUUUGUAAAUAGGAGCUUAAUUUCACUUUAAGGUAAUAUUUUUGUCCCCAAACUUUUGUUUCAUAAUUUUAGUUAUUAACAAAGUUCUAACUUAACACUGCUUGCUUACAUGCAUAGUUGACCAGUUUAGUUUUAUUUCUUCAGGUCUUUUAGUCAUUAUUUUGUUGGAUAUUUUUUAACAUUGUUAAAACACCAAUAGGUUGUGAGUUUAAAAUGUUUUUAUUUUACAUAGUUUAUUGUUUUUUUGUUUAUGUAUAAUUUUGGGGUAAUGGUUGUGUGUAAUAUUCUCUUUUUUUCCCUCACUUUAUUAAAGCAAUCAAAUUUUGUAUUUUACACGAUUAAAAGAACUUUAUAUUUUUCUUUUUGUAAACAAUUGAUGUUGUACUAAUAAGUUAAACUUCUGUUUAGGUAUAUAAUUAUGUAGGAGUUUGUUUAUUUUGUGUCAGUCUUUCUGUAUUUGAGUUGUUACGCCUAUAUUGUAUCAGUUUUGUAAAUGCUCAAAAUCUUUUUGUUCUAGAUCUGACAAUCUGUAUAGAUUUAAAACUUACCUAUAUAUAUGUUGUUAUAAAUAAUGUCAUUGAAGAUUAAGAUCUGUCAUAAUUUUGUUUAAUUCGUCGUUUCAGAAUCUAAGGUAUACUGGGUAAUAUUUUUAAAUAGCUACAUUAAAAUGUUUUGAUCUGCCAAUUAAGCCCAAUUAAGUUAAUUGGUUAAUAUUAUUCUUGUUGUAUGUGAUAAGAACAAUCAAAUUGCUCUUUGUCCUUUGACAUUCUGAAAUGUUAAUUCUUCUUAACUACUUGAUCAAUAUCAUGGCUAUAAAUGGCUUCUUUUUUUAGGGUAAAAUGAAAAGUGUUGGCAAUAUAUUUAUCUCUUCUUUAUUUUAUUUUAUAAUUUUUGUGUUAGAUUCUGUCGUAUUAGAACUUGUUAUUGUGACAUGACUGUAAGUGUUGCUCUACACCUAUUGCAGUUCAUAUAAAGUUCUGACCAAAUUGCAAUUUGUCCUUUCAUAAUGUGCAUUAUCAUCAUAAGCAUCAUGUACAAUACAAUUAAUGAUGUUGUUGCAACCAAGCUAGAAAUUGGAAAAUAUUUCUGUAUUCAUAUCAUAUUGCAUGACUCACCUGAAUCAAAUUUCUUGGACGCAAUAUUAAUUGCGGUAACAUGUAUAAUUCUGAAUUGGUCUAUUUGUACUACAUGUAUUGUAAAAUAUUUACACCUAUAAUUUACCAGGGUAGAGUUUCAAUCACUGUAAGCUUUCUCAUCACUCAUACUCAGUUAAUCAGUGCAAUAUAAUUAGAAUCUCUAUUACACAUGUAAUACACUUUGUUUGUCUUAUUACACAUGUAGGUUGUGUGUUACACAUGUAGGUUAUGUAUAAAAGAUGUAGGUUAACUUAGCAUUCCGCCUUUACAUUCCUUUUUUGUUACUUUUGGUCUUUGUUUACUAAUUUAAUAAAGCUAAUAUAUAUAAUAUGUCAAUAAAGUUUCUUUUAUUAUCAACUUA